Molecule: ribosomal RNA, 727 nt
Filed under: Pseudolactococcus raffinolactis
Lineage: Bacteria; Bacillati; Bacillota; Bacilli; Lactobacillales; Streptococcaceae
Description: bacterial SSU rRNA
Rfam family: Bacterial small subunit ribosomal RNA
Source: RNAcentral
AUACAUGCAAGUUGAACGCUUGAUUUUCACCGAAGCUUGCUUCACCGAAAAUCAAGAGUAGCGAACGGGUGAGUAACGCGUGGGUAACCUACCUUUCAGCGGGGGAUAACUAUUGGAAACGAUAGCUAAUACCGCAUAACAAUGUUGGAUGCAUAUUCGACAUUUGAAAGUACCAACUGGUACACUGAGAGAUGGACCCGCGUUGUAUUAGCUAGUUGGUAGUGUAAUGGACUACCAAGGCGAUGAUACAUAGCCGACCUGAGAGGGUGAUCGGCCACAUUGGGACUGAGACACGGCCCAAACUCCUACGGGAGGCAGCAGUAGGGAAUCUUCGGCAAUGGACGAAAGUCUGACCGAGCAACGCCGCGUGAGUGAAGAAGGUUUUCGGAUCGUAAAACUCUGUUGUUAGAGAAGAACGUUGCAUAGAGUGGAAAAUUAUGCAAGUGACGGUAUCUAACCAGAAAGGGACGGCUAACUACGUGCCAGCAGCCGCGGUAAUACGUAGGUCCCGAGCGUUGUCCGGAUUUAUUGGGCGUAAAGCGAGCGCAGGUGGUUUAAUAAGUCUGAUGUAAAAGGCAGUGGCUCAACCAUUGUGUGCAUUGGAAACUGUUAGACUUGAGUGCAGUAGAGGAGAGUGGAAUUCCAUGUGUAGCGGUGAAAUGCGUAGAUAUAUGGAGGAACACCGGUGGCGAAAGCGGCUCUCUGGACUGUCACUGACACUGAGGCU